Molecule: ribosomal RNA, 1621 nt
Filed under: Callipepla douglasii (Elegant quail)
Lineage: Eukaryota; Metazoa; Chordata; Aves; Galliformes; Odontophoridae
Description: 16S ribosomal RNA
Rfam family: Bacterial large subunit ribosomal RNA
Source: RNAcentral
CGCCUCCUCUAGCCCAAACAUAUCCCUCAACAAAACAGUAAUAAACCACCUACCCCCACCUAACCAAAACAUUCUAACCCUUACCCUAGUAUAGGCGAUAGAAAAGGACUUAGGCGCAAUAGAGACUUCUGUACCGCAAGGGAAAGAUGAAAUAACAAUGAAACCCAAAGCAAGAAAAAGCAAAGACCAACCCUUGUACCUCUUGCAUCAUGAUUUAGCAAGAACAACCAAGCAAAGUGAACUAAAGUUUGCCUCCCCGAAACCCAAGCGAGCUACUUCUGAGCAGCUAGAAUUGAGCGAACCCAUCUCUGUUGCAAAAGAGUGGGAUGACUUAGCAGUAGAGGUGAAAAGCCAACCGAGCUGGGUGAUAGCUGGUUACCUGCCAAACGAAUCUUAGUUCCCCCCUAACCCUUCCACAAGGACACUAAACUCAACCACAACACAACCCAUGAUAGAGUUAGGAGUAAUUCUAAGGAGGUACAGCUCCUUAGAAAAAGAAAACAAUCUCCCCUAGCGGAUUAACCUUUUUUCCCCUUUUACUGUGGGCCUUAAAGCAGCCACCAACAAAAGAAUGCGUCAAAGCUCUUACCAUUAAAAAUUCCACAAACCAAUCUGACUCCCUUACCAUAAGCAGGUUAAUCUAUGACUAUAGAAGAAUUAAUGCUAAAAUAAGUAACUUGAGAUAUCCCUCUUCAGCGCAAACUUACAUAUACACAUUAUUAACAGAUCCCCUAUAUCAUCAACUGCAACAAGACCAAAUAUUACCCCAUCUGUUAAACCAACUCAGGAGCGCCCAUAAGACGAUUAAAAUUUGCAGAAGGAACUCGGCAAACCCAACAGACCCGACUGUUUCCCAAAAACAUAGCCUUUAGCAACCAACAAGUAUUAAAGGUGAUGCCUGCCCAGUGACUACAACGUUCAACGGCCGCGGUAUCCUAACCGUGCGAAGGUAGCGCAAUCAAUUGUCUCAUAAAUCGGGACUUGUAUGAAUGGCUAAACGAGGUCUUAACUGUCUCCUGCAAAUAAUCAGUGAAAUUGGUAUUCCCGUGCAAAAACAGGAAUGAGAACAUAAGACGAGAAGACCCUGUGGAACUUUAAAAUCAUCGACCACCUCAACUAACACCACAAUCCACAAGGACCUACCACCACAGAGUACUUGGUCGACUUUUUUCGGUUGGGGCGACCUUGGAGAAAAACAAAUCCUCCAAACCUCACAGACCACAACUCUUAACCUAGACCAACCAAUCAAAGUACUAACAGUAACCUAGACCCAAUACAAUUGAACAAUGAACCAAGCUACCCCAGGGAUAACAGCGCAAUCUCCUUCAAGAGCCCAUAUCGACAAGGAGGUUUACGACCUCGAUGUUGGAUCAGGACAACCUAAUGGUGCAGCCGCUAUUAAGGGUUCGUUUGUUCAACGAUUAACAGUCCUACGUGAUCUGAGUUCAGACCGGAGCAAUCCAGGUCGGUUUCUAUCUAUGAAUUCUACUCCUCCUAGUACGAAAGGACCGGAGAAGUGGGGUCAAUACUAAAAGCACACCCCCACCCCUCUAAGCAAUAAACCCAACUCAAUUGCCAAGAGACCUAUAACCCCACCCCAUUCAACCCCAGAAAAGGGACA